UUUCCGUAGGUGAACCUGCGGAAGGAUCAUUACAGUAGUCGCCCGGGUUGCCGCAAGGCCUCCCGGGUAACCUACCACCCUUUGUUUAUUACACUUUGUUGCUUUGGCAGGCCUGCCCUCGGGCUGCUGGCUCCGGCCGGCGAGCGCUUGCCAGAGGACCUCAACUCUGUUUGUCUUUACUGUCUGAGUACUAUAUAAUAGUUAAAACUUUCAACAACGGAUCUCUUGGUUCUG
This 234-nucleotide unclassified non-coding RNA is filed under the name plant metagenome. RNAcentral describes it as "partial contains small subunit ribosomal RNA, internal transcribed spacer 1, and 5.8S ribosomal RNA". The record is from RNAcentral.